GGUCCGUUCGUCUAGAGGCUAGGACGCCGGGUUUUCAUCCCGGUAACAGGGGUUCAAUUCCCCUACGGACUGCAA
RNAcentral lists this transfer RNA (75 nucleotides) under Bacteroidota bacterium. RNAcentral's name for it is "Bacteroidetes bacterium tRNA-Glu". It matches the Rfam family "tRNA". Rfam says of the family: Transfer RNA (tRNA) molecules are approximately 80 nucleotides in length. The record is from RNAcentral. Lineage: Bacteria; Pseudomonadati; Bacteroidota.